This 76-nucleotide microRNA precursor is filed under the name Astyanax mexicanus (Mexican tetra). Its description in RNAcentral is "mir-17 microRNA precursor family". It matches the Rfam family "mir-17 microRNA precursor family". From Rfam's summary of the family: This family represents the microRNA (miRNA) precursor mir-17, family, which includes mir-20, mir-91, and mir-103. miRNAs are transcribed as ~70nt precursors (modelled here) and subsequently processed by the Dicer enzyme to give a ~22nt product. Lineage: Eukaryota; Metazoa; Chordata; Actinopteri; Characiformes; Acestrorhamphidae. The record is from Rfam by way of RNAcentral.
UGGGCAGUACUAAAGUGCUUUUAGUGCAGGUAGUGAUUAUUGUCUACUGCCCUGAGAGCACUGACAGUACUUCCAG